This 652-nucleotide ribosomal RNA is filed under the name uncultured Rhodobacterales bacterium. Its description in RNAcentral is "bacterial SSU rRNA". It matches the Rfam family "Bacterial small subunit ribosomal RNA", at positions 74 to 767 of the family's 1533-position model. Lineage: Bacteria; Pseudomonadati; Pseudomonadota; Alphaproteobacteria; Rhodobacterales. The record is from RNAcentral.
AGGACUUCGGUUCUAGCGGCGGACGGGUGAGUAACGCGUGGGAAUGUGCCCUUCUCUACGGAAUAGCCCUGGGAAACUGGGAGUAAUACCGUAUACGCCCUAUUGGGGAAAGAUUUAUCGGAGAAGGAUCAGCCCGCGUUGGAUUAGGUAGUUGGUGGGGUAAUGGCCUACCAAGCCGACGAUCCAUAGCUGGUUUGAGAGGAUGAUCAGCCACACUGGGACUGAGACACGGCCCAGACUCCUACGGGAGGCAGCAGUGGGGAAUCUUAGACAAUGGGGGCAACCCUGAUCUAGCCAUGCCGCGUGAGUGAUGAAGGCCUUAGGGUUGUAAAGCUCUUUCAGCUGGGAAGAUAAUGACGGUACCAGCAGAAGAAGCCCCGGCUAACUCCGUGCCAGCAGCCGCGGUAAUACGGAGGGGGCUAGCGUUGUUCGGAAUUACUGGGCGUAAAGCGCACGUAGGCGGACCGGAAAGUCAGAGGUGAAAUCCCAGGGCUCAACCUUGGAACUGCCUUUGAAACUAUCGGUCUGGAGUUCGAGAGAGGUGAGUGGAAUUCCGAGUGUAGAGGUGAAAUUCGUAGAUAUUCGGAGGAACACCAGUGGCGAAGGCGGCUCACUGGCUCGAUACUGACGCUGAGGUGCGAAAGCGUGGGGA